RNAcentral lists this ribosomal RNA (910 nucleotides) under uncultured bacterium. RNAcentral describes it as "bacterial SSU rRNA". It matches the Rfam family "Bacterial small subunit ribosomal RNA", at positions 33 to 911 of the family's 1533-position model. The record is from RNAcentral.
ACGCUGGCGGCGUGCCUAAUACAUGCAAGUCGAGCGAGCUGAAUUCAAAGAUCCCUUCGGGGUGAUUUGUUGGAUGCUAGCGGCGGAUGGGUGAGUAACACGUGGGCAAUCUGCCCUAAAGACUGGGAUACCACUUGGAAACAGGUGCUAAUACCGGAUAACAACACGAAUCGCAUGAUUCAAGUUUGAAAGGCGGCGCAAGCUGUCACUUUAGGAUGAGCCCGCGGCGCAUUAGCUAGUUGGUGGGGUAAAGGCCUACCAAGGCAAUGAUGCGUAGCCGAGUUGAGAGACUGAUCGGCCACAUUGGGACUGAGACACGGCCCAAACUCCUACGGGAGGCAGCAGUAGGGAAUCUUCCACAAUGGACGCAAGUCUGAUGGAGCAACGCCGCGUGAGUGAAGAAGGUUUUCGGAUCGUAAAGCUCUGUUGUUGGUGAAGAAGGAUAGAGGCAGUAACUGGUCUUUAUUUGACGGUAAUCAACCAGAAAGUCACGGCUAACUACGUGCCAGCAGCCGCGGUAAUACGUAGGUGGCAAGCGUUGUCCGGAUUUAUUGGGCGUAAAGCGAGCGCAGGCGGAAUGAUAAGUCUGAUGUGAAAGCCCACGGCUCAACCGUGGAACUGCAUCGGAAACUGUCAUUCUCGAGUGCAGAAGAGGAGAGUGGAACUCCAUGUGUAGCGGUGGAAUGCGUAGAUAUAUGGAAGAACACCAGUGGCGAAGGCGGCUCUCUGGUCUGCAACUGACGCUGAGGCUCGAAAGCAUGGGUAGCGAACAGGAUUAGAUACCCUGGUAGUCCAUGCCGUAAACGAUGAGCGCUAGGUGUUGGGGACUUUCCGGUCCUCAGUGCCGCAGCAAACGCAUUAAGCGCUCCGCCUGGGGAGUACGACCGCAAGGUUGAAACUCAAAGGAAUU